This 301-nucleotide ribosomal RNA is filed under the name uncultured bacterium. Its description in RNAcentral is "partial 16S ribosomal RNA". It matches the Rfam family "Bacterial small subunit ribosomal RNA", at positions 509 to 807 of the family's 1533-position model. The record is from RNAcentral.
CAGUCGCCGCGGUAAUACGAAGGGUGCAAGCGUUACUCGGAAUUACUGGGCGUAAAGCGUGCGCAGGCGGUUAUGUAAGACAGUUGUGAAAUCCCCGGGCUCAACCUGGGAACUGCAUCUGUGACUGCAUAGCUAGAGUACGGUAGAGGGGGAUGGAAUUCCGCGUGUAGCAGUGAAAUGCGUAGAUAUGCGGAGGAACACCGAUGGCGAAGGCAAUCCCCUGGGCCUGCACUGACGCUCAUGCACGAAAGCGUGGGGAGCAAACAGGAUUAGAUACCCCGGUAGUCCCUGUCUCUUAUAC